RNAcentral lists this ribosomal RNA (253 nucleotides) under uncultured bacterium. RNAcentral's name for it is "partial 16S ribosomal RNA". It matches the Rfam family "Bacterial small subunit ribosomal RNA", at positions 524 to 776 of the family's 1533-position model. The record is from RNAcentral.
GACGAACCGUGCGAACGUUGUUCGGAAUCACUGGGUUUAAAGGGCGCGUAGGCGGGCUGUCAAGUCGGUGGUGAAAUCUUUCGGCUCAACCGGAAAAUCGCCUUCGAUACUGGCGGCCUUGAGGGGGGUAGGGGCAUGCGGAACUUCCGGUGGAGCGGUGAAAUGCGUAGAUAUCGGAAGGAACACCGAUGGCGAAAGCAGCGUGCUGGACCCUUUCUGACGCUGAGGCGCGAAAGCCAGGGGAGCAAACGGG